Molecule: ribosomal RNA, 131 nt
Filed under: Bacteroidales bacterium
Lineage: Bacteria; Pseudomonadati; Bacteroidota; Bacteroidia; Bacteroidales
Description: partial 16S ribosomal RNA
Rfam family: Bacterial small subunit ribosomal RNA
Source: RNAcentral
ACAACGAAGAGUUUGAUCCUGGCUCAGGAUAAACGCUAGCGGCAGGCCUAACACAUGCAAGUCGAGCGGCAGCGCGGUGUAGCAAUACACUGGCGGCGAGCGGCGGACGGGUGAGUAACGCGUAUGCAACC